GACGAACGCUGGCGGCGUGCUUAACACAUGCAAGUCGAACGGAAAGGCCCUGCUUUUGUGGGGUGCUCGAGUGGCGAACGGGUGAGUAACACGUGAGUAACCUGCCCUUGACUUUGGGAUAACUUCAGGAAACUGGGGCUAAUACCGGAUAUGAGCUCCUGCUGCAUGGUGGGGGUUGGAAAGUUUCGGCGGUUGGGGAUGGACUCGCGGCUUAUCAGCUUGUUGGUGGGGUAGUGGCUUACCAAGGCUUUGACGGGUAGCCGGCCUGAGAGGGUUACCGGGCACAUGGGGACUGAGAUACGGACCAGACUCCUACGGGAGGCAGCAGUGGGGAAUAUUGCACAAUGGGGGGAAGCCUGAUGCAGCAACGCCGCGUGCGGGAUGACGGCCUUCGGGUUGUAAACCUCUUUCGCCUGUGACGAAGCGUGAGUGACGGUAAUGGGUAAAGAAGCACCGGCUAACUACGUG
Molecule: ribosomal RNA, 468 nt
Filed under: uncultured bacterium
Lineage: Bacteria
Description: partial 16S ribosomal RNA
Rfam family: Bacterial small subunit ribosomal RNA
Source: RNAcentral